Molecule: ribosomal RNA, 465 nt
Filed under: uncultured bacterium
Lineage: Bacteria
Description: bacterial SSU rRNA
Rfam family: Bacterial small subunit ribosomal RNA
Source: RNAcentral
CAAGCGGUGGAGCAUGUGGUUUAAUUCGAUGCAACGCGAAGAACCUUACCUGGUCUUGACAUCCACGGAAGUUUUCAGAGAUGAGAAUGUGCCUUCGGGAACCGUGAGACAGGUGCUGCAUGGCUGUCGUCACCUCGUGUUGUGAAAUGUUGGGUUAAGUCCCGCAACGAGCGCAACCCUUAUCCUUUGUUGCCAGCGGUCCGGCCGGGAACUCAAAGGAGACUGCCAGUGAUAAACUGGAGGAAGGUGGGGAUGACGUCAAGUCAUCAUGGCCCUUACGACCAGGGCUACACACGUGCUACAAUGGCGCAUACAAAGAGAAGCGACCUCGCGAGAGCAAGCGGACCUCAUAAAGUGCGUCGUAGUCCGGAUUGGAGUCUGCAACUCGACUCCAUGAAGUCGGAAUCGCUAGUAAUCGUGGAUCAGAAUGCCACGGUGAAUACGUUCCCGGGCCUUGUACACACC